GGAGAGAUGGCCGAGUGGACGAAGGCGCACGACUCGAAAUCGUGUAGGCGGCAACGUCUCGGGGGUUCAAAUCCCUCUCUCUCCG
This 85-nucleotide transfer RNA is filed under the name bacterium. Its description in RNAcentral is "tRNA-Ser". It matches the Rfam family "tRNA". From Rfam's summary of the family: Transfer RNA (tRNA) molecules are approximately 80 nucleotides in length. The record is from RNAcentral.